GAAAUUUUCCUUUGAGACGUUAGUCAAUAAUGCAUUCAUAAUACUCAAUUUUAAAUCUGGUAGAUAAAGGUGGUUAUGAUUUCUUUGUAUCAAAACUAAACGGUCCUUUUGCAUCAUUCUUUAAAAAAGAAAUAAAAAAAAUAAAAAAAACAAAAAAAUAAAAAAAAAACAAAAAAAUAAAAACAAAAAAAAAAAAAAAUUGACCUCUAACUCCUCGCUGAAAUUUCCAUUCCUAUUGACCCAUUUCCAUUCCUAU
This 256-nucleotide long non-coding RNA is filed under the name Amborella trichopoda. Its description in RNAcentral is "long non-coding RNA (ATRI_LNC002304)". The record is from RNAcentral. Lineage: Eukaryota; Viridiplantae; Streptophyta; Magnoliopsida; Amborellales; Amborellaceae.